RNAcentral lists this long non-coding RNA (3574 nucleotides) under Gossypium raimondii (Peruvian cotton). RNAcentral's name for it is "long non-coding RNA (GRAI_LNC000407)". The record is from RNAcentral. Lineage: Eukaryota; Viridiplantae; Streptophyta; Magnoliopsida; Malvales; Malvaceae.
CCAGAUUAUUUAUCAGGUUUGUCCCACUCAAUUGUGUUUAAUCAGCCAGCUUGUCCCUCUCUUGUUUAUGAAAGCAGGCCCUUGUUUGCAUACAAAAAAUGGAGGCAUCAACAUUUUGUUUCUUGUCCUUAAUUUUGCUUGAGACAUUGACGUAUGCUCAUUUAAUUUUCACCUAAUCUUUUAGCUUUCCAAAUCAGAAAUGAACAAAGAAACAAUUAUAGCAUCUCAUAAAAUAUUGUAGAACUUUCCCACGUGAAACAUUAUACCCUAUCCGUAGGACCAUGUUGUAACAUUGUUAUUGUAAUCGAUGAUGAAGAGAGAAUUGUGAACUAAGUUCCCGACCACUUUGAUGGGAUUUUAUUUUUUUUUAUUUUUUUGUAGUUUCAUUCAAAUGGUAUAGGUUCACCCUGAACGAAAAAGAGGCCGGAAGGGGCACCACCGUUCGGCCAAAGUGCUAACUUGACUGGAAUCGCUGCACCUUCUUCGGGGGUUGAAUGACCGGUAUUGUAAUUUAUAUCGGUUUUGACAAAACCAGGGCAAACACAGUUGAUGCAGAAAUUUGGAUGCUUCUUGGCCAAAAUCCUUGUAUAGGCAUUCAUAGCUACUUUUGACACAGUAUAUGCUGAGAGGCAAGUUGGCCAUCCUUUACUUUCGAGUAAACCUUGCUUAAAAUCUUUUAGAUACUCACUUAUCAAGUCACUCAGUUUCUCCUCUGUUGUAAAGCCUGUUAAUACUCCUUUGAGCUGUUCACCGACCAUAUCCUGUUACAAGAAGUUGAGUCGAUAAGUUCCUUUUUGAAGUUUAUUAUCAAGGUUUUUAGGGUACUAUAUAUUUCAUAUAUCUACCUUUAACAUGACUGUAGAUGAGGAAAUAUUUACAAUCCUUGGUGAUUCAGAUAUUUGCAGCAAUGGAAUAAGUGCUUCUGUUGUUCUUUUAGCGCCAUAGUAGUUUGUUUUCAGGCAUUCUUCAGCUAACUCGUAAGUUUCAGUCGCUUUACUCCAUAUACUCGAAUAUUCCUGUAUCUUUAACAAAAGAACUUAGGCUAUCAGGCUAUACUUUAUGUCCCCAAAAGCUUUGAUGAGAUGACUUACCUCAGUACCUGAAGCCACUGAAAAGGUUACACCUGAUAUCCCUGCAUUGUUAACCUGCACAAGAUCAUUGUUUUUAAGAACAUCUCUUUUUUUUCAUAGGGUUUUAUUAAUAUGGUAUAUAUGUUUUGAUAAUUGAUACCAAGAUAUCUAACUUCCCAAAUUGUUCCUUUACAAAAUCUGCCAAAGAAGCGAUGCUUUUGGGUUUUGUCACAUCAAGCUGGUGAAAAGCGAGACGAUCCGAUAAACCGGAGUGUUUCAGACUCUGAAGAGCCUCAACACCUCUUUUCUCAUCUCUAGCAGUUAAUAUCACUAUGGUCCCAUUUCGGGCUAACUGCUUGCAAAUUUCAAGCCCAAUACCCUUGUUUGCUCCAGUGACAACUGCAUACCUGACAAAAAUAGUUAAUGUCAUGUUAGAGUGUUAUUAUGGCAAAUAUAAAACCUCGAUUAAGAAAUUGCUACCUUUGCAUGGUGUCUGUCAUGUUGAGAUGGUCCAGAUGGAGUUGAGUAGCUAGAGUGAAACAAAUGGAAACUAUAACACUAUUUUUUAUGCCAAUUAUUGCACUGAUGAACUGAAGAAGGAAACUCCUAAUUAUAAACAUGGCUUUCAUUGUCAAAUUAAAACUACUUUAAUGUGUGCAGUUGAGAUCUCUUUUCAGAAUUCUCUUUCAUUUUCUCCAUACAUGAGAGUCUAUGUUACUAGUAUUUGUGUCUAACAGUCGGAUACACGUGUAUAUUCCAUACGGAUAUGUUAAUGUUAUAUGGGUAAACUACAUUUAAGGUCAUUAAAUUAUUAUUAAAUUUACAUUUUGGUUACUCAACUUUAAAAAGUUUCAAAAAUGACCAUUAAAGUCAACAAAACUUUUCAUUUAAGUCAUUCGGCUAUUAAAAUCGUUGUUGUAUAGCCUUCUUUGUUCACACCACCUACACCUAUCGAAAGCUCUUCUUUCACUUUUUUUGUACAAUCCAAUUUUUUUACAUAAAAUAGCUUUGAUCAUCACAAAUAUAUAAAUUAAUAUCCAAACAUUUUUUUCUCAAUCACUGACACUGGCCGUCAGAUUAAUUUAGAUCUAAGGUAUAUGCUUCUACUCAUCGAUGGUACCGAUUGUUGAAUCAUCUUUGGAGCUUGCUAGUCGAACCUAUCCAUGUAUAAUGGAGUAGGAUAGUCAAAACACAUGUAUUUAAAAAAAUUUGAGGAGUUUGGUGAUGAUGCUCUUUGAUAAUAUUCACUACACCAAAACAGGCUUUUAGCGGCGUCUUUUUAGACCUUUAGCGGCGUUUUUUAGCGUCGCUAAAACUAUUUGCGGAGCUUUGAGAAGCGCCGCUAAUGACAGCGCCGCUAACAUUAGCGGCGUUUUUAUAAAUAAAUGCCGCUAAAGACCAAGACCUUUAGCGGCGCUUCUCCCACAAACGCCGCUAAAGACCAAGACCUUUAGCGACGCUUCUCCCACAAAUGCCGCUAAAGACCAAGAUCUUUAGCGGCGCUAUUCCCACAAUGCCGCUAAAGACCAUGACCUUUAGCAGCGCUUUUAACACAAACGCCGCUAUAGAAUAGAUCUUCAGCGGCGCUUUUCUAAAAACGCCGCUAAAAAUAUAUCUUUUAAAAAAAUAAUUUUUUUUCAAAUAAUAUUUAUUUCUAUGAUAAAUAUUAUAUUAUGUUUUAAGGAUAAACAAAAAAUAUUAUUUAAAUUAAAUUUUCUACGAAAAUUUUACUUUUAAAACUAAAUAUAAAUAUAAAAAUUAAUGAAUUUAAAUUUAGAAUUUAAAAUAAUAAAUUGAUAACACAAUUAAAAUCCAAAUUAUUAGUAAAUUUAUAUUUUAGUUAUUCAACUUUAAAAAGUUACAAAAUGAUCAUUAAACUCAACAAAACUUUUCAUUUAAAUCAUUGGGCUAUUAAAAUCGUUGUUGUAUAGCCUUCUUUGUUCACACCAACUACACCUAUCGAAAGCUCUUCUUUCACUUUUUUUGUACAAUCCAAUUUUUUUACAUAAAAUAGCUUUGAUUGUCACAAAUAUAUAAAUUAAUAUCCAAACAAUUUUUUUCUCAAUCACUGACACUGACCGUCAGAUUAAUUUAGAUCUAAGGUAUAUACUUCUACUCAUCGAUGGUACCAAUUGUUGAAUCAUCUUUGGAGCUUGCUAGUCGAACCUAUCCCUGUAUAAUGGAGCAGGGUAGUCAAAACACAUGUAUUUAAAAAAAAUUGAGGAGUUUGGUGAUGAUGCUCUUUGAUAAUAUUAUUUCAAUAGUUAAUGUAUCGAAAUUUAUCAACAACUCCAGAUUAUUUAUCAGGUUUGUCCCACUCAAUUGUGUUUAAUCAGCCAGCUUGUUCCUCUCUUGUUUAUGAAAGCAGGCCCUUGUUUGCAUACAAAAAAUGGAGGCAUCAACAUUUUGUUUCUUGUCCUUAAUUUUGCUUGAGACAUUGACGUAUGCUCAUUUAAUUUUCACCUAAUCUUUUAGCUUUCCAAAUCAGAAAUGAACAAAGAAAC